GAUGAACGCUGGCGGCGUGCCUAAUACAUGCAAGUCGAGCGAACAGAAGAGGAGCUUGCUCCUCUGACAUUAGCGGCGGACGGGUGAGUAACACGUGGAUAACCUACCUAUAAGACUGGGAUAACUUCGGGAAACAGGAGCUAAUACCGGAUAAUAUAUCGAACCGAAUGGUUCAAUAGUGAAAGACGGUUUUGCUGUCACUAAUAGAUGGAUCCGCGCCGCAUUACCUAGUUGGUAAGGUAACGGCUUACCAAGGCAACGAUGCGAAGCCGACCCGAAAGGGUCGUCGACCACGCUGUAUCUGAGGCACGGCCCAGACUCCUAGGGGAGGCCGCAGUCGGGAAUCUUCCGCAAGGCGCGAAAGCCUGACGUAGCAACGCCGCGUGAGUGAUGAAGGUCUUCGGAUCGUAGAACUCUGUUAUUAGGGAAGAACAAAUGUGUAAGUAACUAUGCACGUCUUGACGGUACCUAAUCAGAAAGCCACGGCUAACUACGUG
RNAcentral lists this ribosomal RNA (497 nucleotides) under uncultured bacterium. RNAcentral's name for it is "partial 16S ribosomal RNA". It matches the Rfam family "Bacterial small subunit ribosomal RNA", at positions 28 to 507 of the family's 1533-position model. The record is from RNAcentral.